CUCAGUUUUCUCAUCUGUAAAUUGGAGCCCAUGGAGCUGGUGAUCUCUAAGCUCCCUCUACAGAUUUGGUUUCUCAGGGCAACCUCGAUUCCUAGGCCUCAUCUCAGAGACUGCAAGCAGAUUCUUAGAGAGCUAAAAAUAAAGAAUGUGUUCCCCUCUGUGGAGUAAGGUUGACCCUGAUACCCUCAAGGAAGCAGACAGACAAGCCGUCAUAGUAGAAAGUGCCUAGAAUCCAGUCCUGGCUCUGCCUUCAGCUUGCUGUGUAACCUCAGGCAAAUCUCUCACCCUCUCUGUGUCUCACUCAGUGUGCCAGCUGUAACACGAAGGACUUCUACAACCCCUUCUUGUUCUAAAAUUCUAAGAUUUUGGACUUCCAGCUCCGACCCCUGCCUACCUGGGACAGAGGGGAUGGGAGGUUAGGGGAAGUAUGGAAAUUUCAGGGGAGGAGUCCAGAAUGUCAUUCUUAUACCUCCCCCAGACCCUGACCCACCACAUCCAAAGAGCAACAUCAGCUAGUCCCAAACCAGGGCUGCUGGGUUUGGGGAGCAGCUGCCUCAUCACACACCUCAACACAGUGGCUGGCCCCCAGGCAUCAGACAGUGCACAGACUCAUUACCAUUGUGACUAUGAAGUCACAGUGACAUGGCUUUGAAAUCCAAAUGAAAGAAACACAACAGAGACCCCCUUCCCUGUGGCUCAGCCUGGCACCAGGAUUUAUUGCUUUCAUUUUAAUAGGUUAAUUACUUUGAUAGGUGGCGUUGAUCUGCCCUGAUGGACGGGCAGCACCUGGAAGGCAGGGCUGUGCUGAUUGAUGCCGGGGGCCCACUCCUAUUCAUCCGUUCAACUGAUUCAUUAAGCUGUUCACCCACACUGAGACCUUGGGCAAGUCGUCCUGCCUGUUCUGCCCAUUUCCCAAGCAGCACUAUGAAGAGUCAGUUCUGCUUCCAAGAUUAUGAACCAUCCUGGCCCAGAGUCGGCCCUAAUGGCUCUCCCUGGAGGAUUUGCUGGGGUCUGCUCUGGAGGCUUGGAGUUCAACCCAGGGACCCAAGCAGGCACGUAGGAGUGAAUGUGUGUGUGAAUGCACAUAGGCGCAUGGGUGCAUGUAUGCGUGGGUGUGGGUGUGCAUGCAGGGGUACGUGUGUGUGAAUGCACAUAGACAUAUGGGUGCAUGUAUGCAUGGGUGUGUGUGUGCAUGCAUGUGUGCAUAUGUGGGUGCCUGCAUGUAUGCACAGGGGUACUGGGGGAGAUAAAAGCACAAACUCAGACUACCUGAGUGUGGCACAGCUGUG
This 1289-nucleotide long non-coding RNA is filed under the name Rhinopithecus bieti (black snub-nosed monkey). RNAcentral's name for it is "lncRNA (ENSRBIG00000046381.1)". Lineage: Eukaryota; Metazoa; Chordata; Mammalia; Primates; Cercopithecidae. The record is from RNAcentral.